This 988-nucleotide long non-coding RNA is filed under the name Mytilus galloprovincialis (Mediterranean mussel). The record is from RNAcentral. Lineage: Eukaryota; Metazoa; Mollusca; Bivalvia; Mytilida; Mytilidae.
GUGUGAGUAGCUUUUUUGAUAUAAUCAUUGAUUUCAGAGCAGUUGAAAAUUAACUCCUCAAAUAAAUAAGGUUAACAUAAUAAAAUUCAGUAAACCAUAGUAUUUUUAAACCACAAUCAUAUAAUUUUUAUCAGAUCUAAAAUAUUUAAUACAGGAAAUUGCACUUUUCUAUUUCUAAUUUCUCUGAGAAAAAUACAGCCAUUGUAAGUCACAUUUUUUUUUAAAAGCUGUUAGUUAAUCCUCACUACACAUAGGUUAUAAAUGUUUGGAAAAAAAUAUAAACAACAAAACAUUUUUUUUCUUUAUCAACUUUCAUUUUUAAAGAGCCUUCCUUUUUUUCCUAUGUGUAAUUCAUUUUUCCAAAAAAAUUCAACAUCUUAGUUUUUGUAUAUUCCAUUGGAAUAAAUAUAUCAUCUCAGUUUUAAUAUGAGAAAACAAAAUGAUAUCUGUUCAGUUAAUAAAAAAAAUCAUUAUUAUCAAAAGAUGGAAAAAAGUAAAAUCACAUAAUGUUAUGAUAUUGUAAUUAUUAUAUUUAUUUAUGUUGGCCUAAUUUGUGUUGUAUGGCCUUAUAGUUGUUUACAAAAUAAUCUUAUAACUGUGCAGUUUAGAAUAACAGAAAUUGGGGGCUCGUCCGGGAGACUGAAUUAUCUUAUUCAAAAUUUGUUUAGUAAUUUUUAUUAUAACUAGCCAACAAAAUUCUACAAAAUGGCAUUUGAUGCCGGUAAAUUUUUGAAAACGCCUGACCUGGAGGGGUUUGAUAAUUUAAAGAAAGAGGAAUUAGUGUUGCUUGCUAAACAUCUGAAAUUAGAUUUUAAAGUAUCUAUGAGAAAACAAAUUAUAAAAAAUUUGGUUAUAGACAAAUUAGUUGACGCAAAAAUUUUAAGUGAAGAGGCUCUUGAACUUAAGGUCGAAAAUGUUGACGCCUUUAAAUUAAAACAACUUGAAUUAGAACAUGAACUUAAAUUAAAAGAACUAGAAAUGAAGGAAA